CUAUAUCCAUUGCGGACUUUGUCAAAAUUGUGGACUUCUUCCGAAUGCAACGAGCGGAUUUAAGUGCUCAGCCGAUGAUUUAGAGGCAGUGUCAACUGACACAUCAGCGCCUCAUCAAAGUGGGUUGGGGAGUUGUACACCCGACGAUUUCAGGAUAAAAAAUUUGAAAACCUUUUGCUGCUUGUGGUCGCAGAAAUCAGGCUGCCAAAUGGUUGUUGGUCCUCAAUGGUCUGAUACUGAUAAGAGAGCUCUACGUAGAUGUGACUUGUGUCUGCACUACUGUCCGUGCGCGGCUCCAACUGUAGUUGCCCGGAGAUUUGCAGUUUUUGUCUGUAUGGCGUUGAUUACGAUAUGGAACUUCUGAUCAAAUAGCUAGCUUUUAGAUGGAGGUAUUAAAUUUUUUUUCAAGUGUAAUACACACGCUCCCUUAUUAA
Scaptodrosophila lebanonensis is the source of this 434-nucleotide long non-coding RNA. RefSeq lists it as uncharacterized. Lineage: Eukaryota; Metazoa; Arthropoda; Insecta; Diptera; Drosophilidae. The transcript is spliced from 2 exons. The record is from RefSeq and is a predicted model, not a curated record.